Molecule: ribosomal RNA, 570 nt
Filed under: uncultured bacterium
Lineage: Bacteria
Description: bacterial SSU rRNA
Rfam family: Bacterial small subunit ribosomal RNA
Source: RNAcentral
GAUGGGGUCGCGGCCCAUUAGGUAGUCGGCGGGGUAACGGCCCACCGAGCCUGCGAUGGGUAGCCGGACUGAGAGGUCGAUCGGCCACAUUGGGACUGAGAUACGGCCCAGACUCCUACGGGAGGCAGCAGUGGGGAAUAUUGCGCAAUGGGGGAAACCCUGACGCAGCAACGCCGCGUGCGGGAUGAAGGCUUUCGGGUUGUAAACCGCUUUCAGCAGGGAAGAUAGUGACGGUACCUGCAGAAGAAGCCCCGGCUAAAUACGUGCCAGCAGCCGCGGUAAUACGUAUGGGGCGAGCGUUAUCCGGAUUCAUUGGGCGUAAAGCGCGCGCAGGCGGGCUGCUAAGCGGGACCUCUAAUCUCGGGGCUCAACCCCGAGCCGGGUUCCGAACUGGCAGCCUCGGGUUCGGUAGGGGUAGGCGGAAUUCCCGGUGUAGCGGUGGAAUGCGCAGAUAUCGGGAAGAACACCGAUGGCGAAGGCAGCCUACUGGGCCGCAACCGACGCUGAGGCGCGAAAGCUGGGGGAGCGAACAGGAUUAGAUACCCUGGUAGUCCCAGCCGUAAACGAUGG